RNAcentral lists this ribosomal RNA (451 nucleotides) under uncultured Thiobacillus sp. RNAcentral describes it as "bacterial SSU rRNA". It matches the Rfam family "Bacterial small subunit ribosomal RNA", at positions 927 to 1382 of the family's 1533-position model. Lineage: Bacteria; Pseudomonadati; Pseudomonadota; Betaproteobacteria; Nitrosomonadales; Thiobacillaceae. The record is from RNAcentral.
AAGCGGUGGAUGAUGUGGAUUAAUUCGAUGCAACGCGAAGAACCUUACCUACCCUUGACAUGUCCGGAACUUGCCAGAGAUGGCUUGGUGCCCGAAAGGGAAUCGGAACACAGGUGCUGCAUGGCUGUCGUCAGCUCGUGUCGUGAGAUGUUGGGUUAAGUCCCGCAACGAGCGCAACCCUUAUCAUUAGUUGCUACGCAAGGGCACUCUAAUGAGACUGCCGGUGACAAACCGGAGGAAGGUGGGGAUGACGUCAAGUCCUCAUGGCCCUUAUGGGUAGGGCUUCACACGUCAUACAAUGGUCGGUACAGAGGGUUGCCAAGCCGCGAGGCGGAGCCAAUCCCACAAAGCCGAUCGUAGUCCGGAUUGUUCUCUGCAACUCGAGAGCAUGAAGUCGGAAUCGCUAGUAAUCGCAGGUCAGCAUACUGCGGUGAAUACGUUCCCGGGUCUU